GGUACCCUCGUUGUUUCAGUAAUCUACCAGGUGCCCUUGUGCUUUAUGGUAAUUUCACCAGAUACCCCUGCUCACCAACGGCUAGUUUUUUUUAAAAAAACUAGCCGUUGGUAAGCCUUCUCUAUUUAAAGGGGGAGCCGCUGCAACUCUUCACUACAAAUUUCUGUUCUUCCCCUUAACCAACUCAUAUUUUCCCUAAUUCCCAAUUCAAAUGAGCUCAUAUUCUCAAUCCCAAUCUUCUUCUACAACGUAUGAAUCCUCAUACGUUGUAGUUCCACACAAAACAUGCAACAUAUGUGGGAAAAAAUUUGCAAUAAGAAGUUCUGAAACAAUGAAAAAUCCUCAAAGACUAUAUUACAAGUGUGACUUAUGUGACAACUUCAAGUGGUGCAAGGGAAGCAUUGAGCAACCACUGCCAAUCAGAAACAACAGAGGUAGCACAAAGGAAGGAGAAAUUGAAGAAAACAGAAGCUUGGAUGAAGAAAUUCACCAAAUGAAGAAGAAACUCAAGCAGCAAAAGAAAUUAAUGCAUGGAACUAUCAAUAUUGGCAUUGUAAUGUUUUUUAUUCUAGUAUUUGUAAUGAGAAAGUGAAUGAUGACAUUUCAUCAAUAAUAUGAUAUUUCAUUUCCGAA
Long non-coding RNA from Spinacia oleracea (spinach), 633 nucleotides. RefSeq lists it as uncharacterized. The record is from RefSeq and is a predicted model, not a curated record. The transcript is spliced from 2 exons. Lineage: Eukaryota; Viridiplantae; Streptophyta; Magnoliopsida; Caryophyllales; Amaranthaceae.